This is a long non-coding RNA of Gopherus evgoodei (Goodes thornscrub tortoise), 542 nucleotides long. RefSeq lists it as uncharacterized. NCBI's taxonomy places the organism in Eukaryota, Metazoa, Chordata, Testudines, Testudinidae. The record is from RefSeq and is a predicted model, not a curated record. The transcript has 2 exons.
CAGGGUUCAGAGGAAAGAUGGAUCCUGAGAGCCCCCUGCACAGCAGGUGAUGCAAUGGUAGGUAAGAAAGAGGAGCAGAAUUUUCAGCAGGAAAAUGUCGAGCAAGUGGAUAAACACAGAGCAUUUUUGCAAAGAUCGAAAAGGAAUGUGUCCAGAAGUCAUGAGCAGGGAAACUCCUUUGAGAUUCAGCACAGACCAGAAAGGGAGCAGGGAAACCAGCCAGGAGAGAGAAUGGGUAAAUAUAUUUUCUGCUGGGGAACUCAGAAGAGCAUCAAAGAAACCACAGCACAGCAGGAAAUCCUCAUGGGAAAGAAGAAAAAUACAUGUUGAGAGUGCAGGAAAAGCUUCUCUAGCAGCUCAAACCUUUCUCAACAUCAGAGAAUCUACACAGGGGAGAGGCCCUUUGAAUGCCGUGAGUGUGAGAAAACUUUCACUUAGAAAUCAGGUCUUGUUGAUCAUAAGAGAAUCCACACAGGUGAGAGGCCCUUUGAAUGCCAUGAGCGUGGGAAAACCUUCCCUCACAGAUCAGACCUUUCUCAACA